UGGGCCAUCGAGCCUUCAUUGGAC
RNAcentral lists this unclassified non-coding RNA (24 nucleotides) under Mus musculus (house mouse). RNAcentral describes it as "oocyte_clustered_small_RNA693". The record is from RNAcentral. Lineage: Eukaryota; Metazoa; Chordata; Mammalia; Rodentia; Muridae.